CAAGGAACUCGGCAUAAUGAUCCCGUAACUUCGGAAGAAGGGAUGCCAGUUUGGGUAGCCAGCUUCGCGCUGGUCGCUCUUUCUGGUCGCAGAGAAUCGACUCAAGCGACUGUUUAGCAAAAACACAGGUGCGUGCUAAGCCGCGUAAGGCGCCGUAUACGCACUGACGCCUGCCCGGUGCCGGAAGGUUAAGGGGAGAUGUUAGCCGCAAGGCGAAGCAUUGAGCCGAAGCCCCGGUAAACGGCGGCCGUAACGAUAACGGUCCUAAGGUAGCGAAACUCCUUGUCGGGUAAGUUCCGACCUGCACGAAUGGCGUAACGACUUGAGUACUGUCUCGACCACGUGCUCGGCGAAAUGGCAGUAUCGGUGAGGAUUCCGAUUUUCCCGCAGCAGGACAAAAAGACCCCAUGCACCUUUACUGUAGCUUGCCAUUGGACGUCGCACGUGACUGUGUAGCAUAGGUGGGUGCCUUUGAGGCCCGGGCGCUAGCUCGGGAUUAGGCAUCAGUGAAAUACCACCCUGGCUCUUGUAACGUCCUCACCACGCUCUGGAAAACCCAGGCUGGGACCGUGGCAGGUGGGCAGUUUGACUGGGGCGGUCGCCUCCGAAAAAGUAACGGAGGCGCGCGAUGGUUCCCUCAGCGCGGUCGGUACUCGCGCUCUUGAGUGUAACGGCAAAAGGUAGCCUGACGGUGAGACCGACGGGUCGAGCCGCCACGAAAGUGGGCCGUAGUGAUCCGGUAGCCCGUAGUGGAUCGGCUAUCGCUCAACGGAUAAAAGGUACGCUGGGGAUAACAGGCUUAUCGCAUCCGAGAGUUCACAUCGACGAUGCGGUUUGGCACCUCGAUGUCGGCUUGUCACAUCCUGGGGCUGGAGAAGGUCCCAAGGGUCCGGCUGUUCGCCGGUUAAAGUGGCACAUGAGCUGGGUUCAAAACGUCGUGAGACAGUUUGGUCUGUAUCCGCUGUGGGCGUUGGAGAAUUGAGGGACGCGGACUCUAGUACGAGAGGACCGAGUCGGACGAUCCGCUCGUGUCCCGGCUGUGUCGCCAGAUGCAACGCCGGGUAGCGAUGAUCGGUAGGGAUAACCGCUGAAAGCAUCUAAGUGGGAAGCCCUUCCCAAGAUGAAUUCUCCCUGGAGCCUUGAGCUCCCUGAAGGGCCGUCGGAGACUACGACGUCAAUAGGCCGGAUGUGGAAGCGCGGUAACGCGUUCCGAGCAAACCGGUCCUAAUCGCCCGUGAGGUUUGACUAC
Molecule: ribosomal RNA, 1249 nt
Filed under: metagenome
Description: bacterial LSU rRNA
Rfam family: Bacterial large subunit ribosomal RNA
Source: RNAcentral